UACGUAGGGGGCAAGCGUUGUCCGGAAUCAUUGGGCGUAAAGAGCGUGUAGGCGGCCCGGUAAGUCCGCUGUGAAAGUCCAGGGCUCAACCCUGGGAUGCCGGUGGAUACUGUCGGGCUCGAGUCCGGAAGAGGAGUGUGGAAUUCCUGGUGUAGCGGUGAAAUGCGCAGAUAUCAGGAAGAACACCGAUGGCGAAAGCAGCUCUCUGGGACGGUACUGACGCUGAGGCGCGAAAGCGUGGGGAGCGAACAGG
RNAcentral lists this ribosomal RNA (253 nucleotides) under uncultured bacterium. RNAcentral's name for it is "partial 16S ribosomal RNA". It matches the Rfam family "Bacterial small subunit ribosomal RNA", at positions 524 to 776 of the family's 1533-position model. The record is from RNAcentral.